UAACAGUAGUGUUGGUCCUGGUCUCCAUGCUGUCAGGUAGAUGAUUAUAACAGUAGUGUUGGUCCUGGUCUCCAGACUGUCAGGUAGAUGAUUAUAACAGUAGUGCUGGUCUCCAGGCUGUCAGGUAGAUGAUUAUAACAGUAGUGUUGGUCUCCAGACUGUCAGGUAGAUGAUUAUAACAGUAGUGUUGGUCCUGGUCUCCAGACUGUCAGGUAGAUGAUUAUAACAGUAGUGUUGGUUUCCAGACUGUCAGGUAGAUGAUUAUAACAGUAGUGUUGGUCUCCAGACUGUCAGGAUGAUGAUUAUAACAGUAGUGCUGGUCUCCAGGCUGUCAGGUAGAUGAUUAUAACAGUAGUGUUGGUUUCCAGACUGUCAGGUAGAUGAUUAUAACAGUAGUGUUGGUUCUGGUCUCCAGGCUGUCAGGUAGAUGAUUAUAGCAGUAGUGUUGGUCUCCAGGCUGUCAGGUUGAUGAAUAUAACAGUAGUGUUGGUCUCCAGGCUGUCAGGUAGAUGAUUAUAACAGUAGUGUUGGUCCUGGUCUCCAGACUGUCAGGUAGAUGAUUAUAACAGUAGUGUUGGUCUCCAGGCUGUCAGGUAGAUGAUUAUAACAGUAGUGUUGGUCCUGGUCUCCAGGCUGUCAGGUAGAUGAUUAUAACAGUAGUGCUGGUCUCCAGGCUGUCAG
RNAcentral lists this long non-coding RNA (681 nucleotides) under Salmo salar (Atlantic salmon). RNAcentral describes it as "lncRNA (ENSSSAG00000083726.1)". Lineage: Eukaryota; Metazoa; Chordata; Actinopteri; Salmoniformes; Salmonidae. The record is from RNAcentral.